Molecule: long non-coding RNA, 562 nt
Organism: Bombina bombina (fire-bellied toad)
Lineage: Eukaryota; Metazoa; Chordata; Amphibia; Anura; Bombinatoridae
Exons: 2
Source: RefSeq, a predicted model, not a curated record
UACAUUACGUAGUCUAAAGCAGAAUAAAAGAUAUGUGGAAGACUACAUAUCUGAGUUCAAGAUCUGGCAAAGAGACACGCAAUGGAAUCAAAUCUCAUUAAUUAAUCAAUUUAGAUUAGGUCUAUCAGACCCCAUAAAAGAUGAAUUAGUUAGAAUUGAUCUCCCAGAUUCUUUAGAGGCAUUAAUGGCCCUUACUAUUAAGAUUGAUAGGAGAUUCAGAGAGAGGAGAUUAGAAAAACAAACACAUGACACUGUAACUAGAUAUCAUCCUUCACGUCCUGUGACAUAUAGCCCAAGGGGUAAUGCAGAGGCCAUGGAUAUUGGGUUCAUAAAAGGACCGCUAACCCCAGAGGAAAAGUCUCAUCGCAAGGAACAUGCUCUCUGCAUGUAUUGUGCCUCCAAGGACCAUUCAGUCACGGACUGCCCAUCUCUGAAGAGACAGAAAUCUGUGGGAAAGACAGCGACUAAACCUUGAAGCCGUUGUGGACUCUGGCGCUUAUGCCAAUUACAUUGAUUCCUCUAUAGUAAAAAAUAAAAAUAUACCGUUUGUUGUGAAAGAAAA